AUUGAACGCUGGCGGCAGGCCUAACACAUGCAAGUCGAGCGGAUGAAGGGAGCUUGCUCCUGGAUUCAGCGGCGGACGGGUGAGUAAUGCCUAGGAAUCUGCCUGGUAGUGGGGGAUAACGUCCGGAAACGGGCGCUAAUACCGCAUACGUCCUGAGGGAGAAAGUGGGGGAUCUUCGGACCUCACGCUAUCAGCUGAGCCUAGGUCGGAUUAGCUAGUUGGUGGGGUAAAGGCCUACCAAGGCGACGAUCCGUAACUGGUCUGAGAGGAUGAUCAGUCACACUGGAACUGAGACACGGUCCAGACUACUACGGGAGGCAGCAGUGGGGAAUAUUGGACAAUGGGCGAAAGCCUGAUCCAGCCAUGCCGCGUGUGUGAAGAAGGGCUUCGGAUUGUAAAGCACUUUAAGUUGGGAGGAAGGGCAGUAAGUUAAUACCUUGCUGUUUUGACGUUACCAACAGAAUAAGCACCGGCUAACUUCGUG
This 484-nucleotide ribosomal RNA is filed under the name uncultured bacterium. RNAcentral describes it as "partial 16S ribosomal RNA". It matches the Rfam family "Bacterial small subunit ribosomal RNA", at positions 30 to 507 of the family's 1533-position model. The record is from RNAcentral.